AGCAAUUGCAAUGCAUGAAAUUUCAAAUUUGUUAAUAAGAUUCACCAAUUUCCAAUACAAUAAAAAAAAAGCAUGUCAAUGUAACAAUAAUAAUCUUGUUAUGUAAAUAUAAAAGCUUAAUUAAAACUAUUCAUCAUAGCCAAAUUAAUUAAAACUAUUCAUCAUCAAACUUUAAAUCCAAAAUCUUCUGCACACGUAUCUUUUUGCUAGAAGAUGAUCUAGGCCCGGGUGGCGGAGGGCAGCGUCGCGUCGCCGGAAUCUUGCUCUCCUCCGACGUUGGUGUCUUGUAACCCUCAUCAUCCUCGUCCAUGUCCAACUCAGCUGGGCACUCCACCGCGAUUUUGGGCAACUUUUCAUGGUUGGCCACAUCACCAUGAAAAUGUUGAGUAGGCGUAGCGGCGGCGGUGGUAGCAACGUCGGGCGUUGUAGGAGGUUUAGUGUCAUUAGAAGAAAUUUUAAGGUGUUUAAGGGAGGCCUCAACGGUGUCCAUCUUAGAAGAACAAAACUCAAGACUCUGAUUAUUAUGAUUGCUUUGAGGGAGUUGGU
This 546-nucleotide long non-coding RNA is filed under the name Arachis ipaensis. RNAcentral's name for it is "long non-coding RNA (AIPA_LNC001109)". The record is from RNAcentral. Lineage: Eukaryota; Viridiplantae; Streptophyta; Magnoliopsida; Fabales; Fabaceae.